This is a non-coding RNA of Pelobates cultripes (western spadefoot toad), 299 nucleotides long. NCBI's taxonomy places the organism in Eukaryota, Metazoa, Chordata, Amphibia, Anura, Pelobatidae. The record is from the annotation of a GenBank genome assembly.
CCUGCAGCGGCUCGGUUUAGUGGGACUGACUGCAGUUACAGCCAGGCCCCUCUAUGAGCAGGAAGCGCUCCAAUUAAAAAGCAUCUCAUUUGGACUAUACCUAGCCUUGAUUUAUGGGAUGAGAAUGUUAUCCCCCAGGAGCAGUUUCAGUCAUCACAUAUGAUGAGCAGAACGACUCUGUAUACCGUUAGUGGCCAUACCAUGAUUGCUAUCAGUUUAUACAAAGUCCAGUUCACUGUUUAAUGAACAAGACUGUGUGCACAGCUUGGCCGAGGAGAUAGAAUCCAGUUCAAGUUGUG